Molecule: long non-coding RNA, 326 nt
Filed under: Rattus norvegicus (Norway rat)
Lineage: Eukaryota; Metazoa; Chordata; Mammalia; Rodentia; Muridae
Description: long non-coding RNA NONRATT025002
Source: RNAcentral
AGCUUGGCUAGAGAAGAAUCUUGCUGUCUUUCUUUCCCAUAUCCUAAGCCUUGUAUCCCAGUCCAACCCUAAAGCCACACAAACGCAGAUUGAUGCCGUGUGCUGUCGCCGCUGUGUCUCCUUUAUUCUUCGAGCGACCAUAGGAGGCCUGCUUGGAGAAAAGGCUCAAAUUGCUGCUGCAAAGGAUAUCUGCCAAGCCAUCUGGAAGCUAAAGAAAGUUAUGGGUAGGAUCUACUAAAACUGGUUUGCCAGUGUCAGAGGACCACACCUUGAAAAGCAAUGCUUCUGUAUCACUACGUAUUUUAAAAAUACAACUCAGUUAUUCA